Molecule: long non-coding RNA, 1466 nt
Filed under: Brachypodium distachyon (stiff brome)
Lineage: Eukaryota; Viridiplantae; Streptophyta; Magnoliopsida; Poales; Poaceae
Description: long non-coding RNA (BDIS_LNC000494)
Source: RNAcentral
CCAGGACAAGGGAAAAACUAUUAUUGAUGUACCGGAAACCUCUGACAAGCGGAAAACAGACAUUAUUGUGCAGGUUUAUUCGGUUACUUUUAAUAAGAUGGUAUGUUAGUAAAAAAUAUUAUUAUACCUAGCUUUUAUGGACUUCACAAACUCAAUAUACUUCCUUAUUUUAUGCCUUGAUAAGUUUGUGUCCCGAUUAUUGUGCCACACUUUAUAUAUUUUUAUGUUUUUUUGUUUAUUAUCAAUUUUUAAAUUUUUCCAUGACUUUCAUACCAUUUAUUAAUAUUCAUAUGAAUAUGGUUAUGUUUUCUCUAUCUAUGAUACAUUUUCUUGUUGUCUUUUUGUUAUAAACGUGGGCUACAUUUGUUCCUAUUGAAAAGUGUCAUGGUUAUGCCGUUGGAUGCGCAUCACAUCCUACAAUAUGCAAUUAUAGUAUGUAUGUUAGUGUUCCUCAUGUUGUGAAAUCAUACUUGUUCAUGCAUAAAUGUGUUGCAUUGGCUGUAUUUUGAUAGUGCAAUUCAUCACGUCAACAACUAAACAUUUUUAUGAAAAAAAUCCAAUAGUAAAAUAUGUAUAUCUGAAACGUACUCAUCCUACAAAACAUAUAAACAUUAAACAAUGAAUGGAUCUAUUUCUAUUAUAUGUGCCUCAAUACACUUUAGAGUUGCAACAUUUUUGUAGAUGAGUGUGCACUCCUUUAUGUGUGAUGUACACAACAGUGCAGUUUAUAUAUGUUGUGAUUCAUUUAAAUUCUUGGUUUGAUCUUCCUUUUCUGCUCUUGUUUUGUUGUGUCUACUGAUUAGACCCCCUGUCGAAAAUAUACCAGCCGGGUAACCUCAGACUGACUAAAGGAUAGGACGACCUAAUGUAGAGGUCGUCCUCCCUUAAGUCGGUUUAGUAGAUAUUUUGUGAAGGAAUCCUUGUUAGAUUAUGAAGGAAUCUGUGUUGUGAUCUUUUUUAAUUUAAGUUCAUAUAUGGACCUGGUUGUUAUAAAAUUCUUGUUAUAUAUGUUUGUAUCAUGUAUAUUUAUAUCUAUUUGUCCUCAUAAUCUACAUCAGAUUGCACUUAUUUUUCAUAUUUUGUUUGCUUCAAUUAUCCAUGUAGCUUUGUCAAGUGUGUGGCAAGAAAGGUGGGCCAUGCAUAAUUAGAGACAAGCCAAAGAGCUUCUGGACUAUUGAUAUGCAGGAGUCAUUCAAAAAAAUUGUGGUAUUUAGUUGAAGAUGCAAUAAUUUGUUCUAAAAGAGUUAGUUUCUAAUUGUUAUAUUGUUAAUAAGUUUAUCCUUUUAUGCAGAUUGUGCCCUGCCAUGUCCGCGACCAGUUCAAUAAUAUGGCUAUUGAUCAGGUGAUUUUUGAAACUGGAGACUAUGCUCAAUACACUGUGCAAGUAUACAAGCAACAAGAUCGUACCAUUAUUUUGGGAGCACGAUGGGAAGACUAUGUUGCUCAAUACAACAUACAAGUAGGGG